RNAcentral lists this ribosomal RNA (484 nucleotides) under uncultured bacterium. Its description in RNAcentral is "partial 16S ribosomal RNA". It matches the Rfam family "Bacterial small subunit ribosomal RNA", at positions 30 to 507 of the family's 1533-position model. The record is from RNAcentral.
AUUGAACGCUGGCGGCAGGCCUAACACAUGCAAGUCGAGCGGAUGAAGGGAGCUUGCUCCUGGAUUCAGCGGCGGACGGGUGAGUAAUGCCUAGGAAUCUGCCUGGUAGUGGGGGAUAACGUCCGGAAACGGGCGCUAAUACCGCAUACGUCCUGAGGGGGAAAGUGGGGGAUCUUCGGACCUCACGCUAUCAGAUGAGCCUAGGUCGGAUUAGCUAGUUGGUGGGGUAAAGGCCUACCAAGGCGACGAUCCGUAACUGGUCUGAGAGGAUGAUCAGUCACACUGGAACUGAGACACGGUCCAGACUCCUACGGGAGGCAGCAGUGGGGAAUAUUGGACAAUGGGCGAAAGCCUGAUCCAGCCAUGCCGCGUGUGUGAAGAAGGUCUUCGGAUUGUAAAGCACUUUAAGUCGGGAGGAAGGGCAGUAAGUUAAUACCUUGUUGUUUUGACGUUACCAACAGAAUAAGCACCGGCUAACUUCGUG